CCUACGGGCGGCAGCAGUGGGGAAUAUUGGACAAUGGGCGAAAGCCUGAUCCAGCCAUGCCGCGUGUGUGAAGAAGGCCUUCGGGUUGUAAAGCACUUUCAGUGGGGAAGAAAGCCUUGGGGCUAAUACCCUCGAGGAAGGACAUCACCCACAGAAGAAGCACCGGCUAACUCCGUGCCAGCAGCCGCGGUAAUACGGAGGGUGCGAGCGUUAAUCGGAAUUACUGGGCGUAAAGCGCGCGUAGGCGGUCUGAUAAGCCGGUUGUGAAAGCCCCGGGCUCAACCUGGGAACGGCAUCCGGAACUGUCAGGCUAGAGUGUAGGAGAGGAAGGUAGAAUUCCCGGUGUAGCGGUGAAAUGCGUAGAGAUCGGGAGGAAUACCAGUGGCGAAGGCGGCCUUCUGGACUGACACUGACGCUGAGGUGCGAAAGCGUGGGUAGCAAACAGGAUUAGAUACCCCAGUAGUC
This 465-nucleotide ribosomal RNA is filed under the name Vreelandella stevensii. RNAcentral's name for it is "partial 16S ribosomal RNA". It matches the Rfam family "Bacterial small subunit ribosomal RNA", at positions 338 to 795 of the family's 1533-position model. Lineage: Bacteria; Pseudomonadati; Pseudomonadota; Gammaproteobacteria; Oceanospirillales; Halomonadaceae. The record is from RNAcentral.